AUUAAAGUUACUAAUGCAUAUGGUGGAUGCCUUGGGUAUUUGUGUCGAUGAAGGAAGUGCUAGGCUGCUUUAAGCUUCGAGGAGUUGCCAAGAAACGUUAUUACUCGGAGAUUUCCGAAUGGGGAAACCCGCUGCAUUUAUGCGGCACCGGUCACUAAAACCUUUUGCUUUUAGCAGAAGAUAUAGGUGAUUUGGAGAGAACUCGGCGAACUGAAACAACAUAGUAGCCGGAGGAAAAAAGAUCAAUUAGACAUUCCCUUAGUAGCGGCGAGCGAACAGGGAGGAGCCCAAACCCAGAGUCUUUAUUAUUUCUUUCCGAACUAGACUUACGGUUUUUAACCAUGAGUUUGGUUUGGGAGGACGUUUAAGACAAAGGGGGUAUGGACAGCCCAUUCUGUUAAAUCAGAAAAGAGUUACAAAGUACUUUUGUAGGAGAAGACCCCUGGAAAGGGGCGCCACAGAAAGUAAUAGCCUUGUAACCGAAACAGGAGUACCUCUUUGGGUUGAUCCUGAGUAGCACGGGACACGUGUAACCCUGUGUGAAUAAACGACGUCCACGUCGUAAGGCUAAAUACACAAAUACACCGAUAGCGUAUAGUACCGUGAGGGAAAGGUGAAAAGAACCCCUGUUAGGGGAGUGAAAUAGAACCUGAAACCGUAUGCAAACAAGCUUGCAAAGCCAUAUUUAUAUGGUGAUGCAGUGCCUAUUGAAGAAUGAGCCAGCGAGUUAAUGUUGUAGGCGAGCUUAACCACUUUAUGUGGGGAGGCGUAGGGAAACCGAGUCUUAAUAGGGCGAUUAGUCUGCAGCAUUAGACCCGAAGCCAAGUGAGCUAACCAUGGUCAGGGUGAAGUCACAUGAGAAUGUGAUGGAGGCCCGAACCGGUACAUGAGGAAAAAUGUUCGGAUGAAUUGUGGUUAGAGGUAAAACGCUUAACGAACUUGGCGAUAGCUGGUUCUCCCCGAAACAUGUUUAGGCAUGGUCUCUGUUUUUAAGGCCUUACGAGGUAGAGAUACUGAAAGGGGAUGGGGUGCGUAAGCAUACCCACUCCUACCAAACUCCGAAUGCGUAAGUGUCAGACAGGGAAUCAGUGACGCGGGGAAAUCUCGUGUUACGAAAGGGAAACAACCCAGAUCAUCAGCUAAGGUCCCUAAUUUUUACUCAGUGGGUAAGGAAGUAAGAUCGUUAAGACAGCUAGGAGGUUGGCUUAGAAGCAGCCAUCCUUUAAAGAAAGCGUAACAGCUCACUAGUUAAACGAUUUUGCGCCGACGAUUUAACGGGGCUAAAGUAAAAAACCGAAGCUAUGACUUUGUACUUUUGUACAAGGGGUAGGGGAGCGUUGAUACAGCAGUGAAGCUUUACCGUGAGGUAAGGUGGAGCGGUAUCAAGUGAGAAUGCUGGCAUCAGUAACGAGAUCCAACUGAAAACGUUGGACGCCGAAAACCUAAGGAUUCCUCCGCAAUGCCAGUCAUCGGAGGGUUAGUCGGUCCUAAGGCGAGGCCGAAAGGCGUAGUCGAUGGACAGCAGGUUAAUAUUCCUGCACUACUGCAGAAUCGUUAAUACCGAUGGGGUGACGAAGCAUGACUUAUUAGGCUCACUAAGGAUGUGAGUCCCGAAAGCGAGGAAGUUUGUGUAGGCAAAUCCGCACAAGCGUUUUUACCUGAGCUGGGGGAAAGUUCACCGCAAGGUGCGCAAUCUAAUCGGUUCAAGUUUCCAGGAAAAACCUCUAGGGAGUAUCUGCAGUAUCCGUACCGCAAACCGACACAGGUAGGUAGGUAGAGGAUACCAAGGCGAACGAGUGAAUAGUGGUCGAGGAACUAGGCAAAUUACAUCCGUAACUUAGGAAAAAGGAUGCCCUGCGCGCUUCGGCGUUGCAGGGGGCACAAAAAUGGCUCAAGCGGCUGUUUAUCAAAAACACAGGUCCCUGCUAAACCAGUAAUGGGAGGUAUAGGGGCCGACGCGUGCCCAGUGCCCGUAGGUUAAGGUCGAGGGUGACCAUGUACUUGUACAUGGAGGCUUUUGACUCAAGCCCGGGUGAACGGCAGCAGUAACUAUAACUGUUCUAUGGUAGCGUAAUCCCUUGCCGGGUAAGUUCCGGCCCGCACGAAACGCGUAACGACUUGAGCACUCUCUUAAUCACUAUCUCGGUGAAGUUGAACUACCGGUGAAGAUGCCGGUUACUUGUUGUUGGACAGAAAGACCCCGUGGAGCUUUACUGUAGCUUGGUAUUGAUGAUCGGUUUUAAAUGUAUAGCGUAGGAGGGAGAUUCGUAUUUAUAUGAAUCGCCAAUGUAACACCUCUCUUUUAAUGUCGUGAAUCUCACCAUCUCGCCUUACCGGCGAGGGGGACAAUGCCUGGUGGGCAGUUUGUCUGGGGCGGACUCCUGCUAAAAGGUAACGCAGGAGCUCAAAGGUUCCCUUAUCUCGGAUGGAAAUCGAGAUGUAAGCGUAAAGGUAUAUGGGAGCUUGACUGCAAGACUUACAAGUCGAGCAGAUACGAAAGUAGGACUUAGUGAUCUUCCAAGUGCGUAGUGGUACGCCUGGAACUUAUCGGAUAAAAGUUACCCCGGGGAUAACAGGCUUAUCUUGCCCGAGCGUCCAUAGCGGCGGCAAGGUUUGGCACCUUAGACAGAAAUCAGGGGUGCUACGGAAGUAAUUCCGUACCAAAAAUUCGGCUAAUAACGGUGAACUCCUAAUUGAUUUACUAAUCAAAGGAGAAUACCGUGGGAAGUCUAUUGGAAUGACAAAAAUAUUCCUUUAUGACCCCGUAUCGACUGAUCCUGAGAGCGAAAGCUCAAUAAUGGUGAGAUGGAAACUGCUUUAAAAUAAUUAUAUUUCCAUCAAACGCCGACUCCUACUCUUACUUUAUUGUAAGACAAGAGGAAGAAGAUAUAGUCAGUGCAAGCUAGUAAUAGUUUGAUAUACAUGCGAUGUCGUCUCGUCGUAUCCUGGGGCUGGAGCAGGUCCCAAGGGUUAGGCUGUUCGCCUAUUAAAACGGCGCGUUAGAUGGGUUCAGAACGUCGCAAGACAGUUCGGUCCAUUUCCACAACAAGUGCAGAAUUCUGAGGAGGCUCAUUCCUAGUACGAGAGGACCGGAAUGACCAAAUCUCUAGUGUACCAGUUGUUCUACCAAGAGCAUCGCUGGGUAGCUACAUUUGGAUUUGAUAAGCGCUGAAAGCAUAUAAGCACGAAGCAUACUCCAAAACUAGAAUUCAUCAUCUUUUAGAUGAGACAACUCCUAGGAGACUACUAGGUUGAUAGGCUGUAGGUGCAAGUACAGUAAUGUAUUAAGCCGAGCAGUACUAAUAGUUGUUCAACUUUAUUAU
RNAcentral lists this ribosomal RNA (3323 nucleotides) under Patescibacteria group bacterium. RNAcentral's name for it is "23S ribosomal RNA". It matches the Rfam family "Bacterial large subunit ribosomal RNA". The record is from RNAcentral.